Molecule: ribosomal RNA, 442 nt
Filed under: uncultured bacterium
Lineage: Bacteria
Description: partial 16S ribosomal RNA
Rfam family: Bacterial small subunit ribosomal RNA
Source: RNAcentral
CCUACGGGAGGCAGCAGUGGGGAAUAUUGGGCAAUGGGCGCAAGCCUGACCCAGCAACGCCGCGUGAAGGAAGACGGCUUUCGGGUUGUAAAAUUCUUUUGACAGGGAAGAGUACAUGACGGUACCUGUCGAAUAAGACACGGCUAACUACGUGCCAGUCGCCGAGGUAAUACGCAGGUGGCAAGCGUUGUCCGGAUUUACUGGGGGUAAAGGGCGUGUAGCCGGGUUGACAAGUCAGAUGUGAAAUCCUGCGGCUUAACCGCAGAACUGCAUUUGAAACUGUUGAUCUUGAGUACUGGAGAGGCAGACGGAAUUCGUAGUGUAGCGGUGAAAUGCGUAGAUAUUAGGAGGAACACCAGUGGCGAAGGCGGUCUGCUGGACAGCAACUGACGGUGAGGCGCGAAAGCGUGGGGAGCAAACAGGAUUAGAUACCCCGGUAGUC